RNAcentral lists this transfer RNA (63 nucleotides) under Rattus norvegicus (Norway rat). It matches the Rfam family "tRNA", at positions 1 to 62 of the family's 71-position model. Rfam says of the family: Transfer RNA (tRNA) molecules are approximately 80 nucleotides in length. Their secondary structure includes four short double-helical elements and three loops (D, anti-codon, and T loops). The record is from Rfam by way of RNAcentral. Lineage: Eukaryota; Metazoa; Chordata; Mammalia; Rodentia; Muridae.
GGGGAUUUAGCUCAGUGGUAGAGCGUUUGCCUAGCAAGCACAAGGCCAUGGGUUCGGUCCCCA